AAAAAUCCGCACCUCAUGUGCCUGAGACCUGACACGGACCCGUAAGGGGAAGUCGGUGAUCCUAUGCUGCCAAGAAAAUCUUCUAGCGAGGUUCUAGCCGCCCGUACCCCAAACCGACUCAGGUGGUUAGGUAGAGAAUACCAAGGCGAUCGAGUGAAUCGUGGUUAAGGAAUUCGGCAAAAUACCCCCGUAACUUCGGGAGAAGGGGGGCCCAGAGGGUGACGAGACUUGCUCCCCGAGCCUGAACGGCCGCAGAGACCAGGGAGAAGCGACUGUUUACUAAAAACACAGGUCCGUGCCAAGUCGCAAGACGAUGUAUACGGACUGACGCCUGCCCGGUGCUGGAACGUUAAGGGGACCGGUUAGCCUCACGGCGAAGCUGAGAACUUAAGCGCCAGUAAACGGCGGUGGUAACUAUAACCAUCCUAAGGUAGCGAAAUUCCUUGUCGGGUAAGUUCCGACCUGCACGAAUGGCGUAGCGACUUCUCCACUGUCUCAACCACGAACUCGGCGAAAUUGCACUACGAGUAAAGAUGCUCGUUACGCGCAGAAGGACGGAAAGACCCCGGGACCUUUACUACAGCUUGGUAUUGGUGUUCGGUACGGCUUGUGUAGGAUAGGUGGGAGACUGUGAAGCUGACACGCCAGUGUCGGUGGAGUCAACGUUGAAAUACCACUCUGGUCGUUCUGGAUAUCUAACCUAGGUCCGUAAUCCGGAUCAGGGACAGUGCCUGGUGGGUAGUUUAACUGGGGCGGUUGCCUCCUAAAAGGUAACGGAGGCGCCCAAAGGUUCCCUCAGCCUGGUUGGCAAUCAGGUUUCGAGUGUAAGUGCACAAGGGAGCUUGACUGUGAGACUGACAAGUCGAACAGGGACGAAAGUCGGGACUAGUGAUCCGGCGGUGGCUUGUGGAAGCGCCGUCGCUCAACGGAUAAAAGGUACCCCGGGGAUAACAGGCUGAUCUUGCCCAAGAGUCCAUAUCGACGGCAUGGUUUGGCACCUCGAUGUCGGCUCGUCGCAUCCUGGGGCUGGAGUAGGUCCCAAGGGUUGGGCUGUUCGCCCAUUAAAGCGGUACGCGAGCUGGGUUUAGAACGUCGUGAGACAGUUCGGUCCCUAUCCUCCGCGCGCGCAGGAAACUUGAGAAGGGCUGUCCCUAGUACGAGAGGACCGGGAUGGACGAACCACUGGUGUGUCAGUUGUUCUGCCAAGAGCACCGCAGAUUAGCUACGUUCGGGAGUGAUAACCGCUGAAAGCAUCUAAGCGGGAAGCAUGCUUCAAGAUGAGGUUUCCAUGGGGUUUACCCCGAGAGGCUCCCAGCUAGACUACUGGGUUGAUAGGCCGGAUGUGGAAGUGCGGUAACGCAUGGAGCUGACCGGUACUAAUAAGCCGAUAACUU
Molecule: ribosomal RNA, 1394 nt
Filed under: metagenome
Description: bacterial LSU rRNA
Rfam family: Bacterial large subunit ribosomal RNA
Source: RNAcentral